GUCCAUGUAGCUUAAAACAAAGCAUAACACUGAAGAUGUUAAGACGGCUGCUAAAAGCACCCACGGACA
RNAcentral lists this transfer RNA (69 nucleotides) under Rhipidura fuliginosa. Its description in RNAcentral is "tRNA-Phe". It matches the Rfam family "tRNA". Rfam says of the family: Transfer RNA (tRNA) molecules are approximately 80 nucleotides in length. Lineage: Eukaryota; Metazoa; Chordata; Aves; Passeriformes; Rhipiduridae. RNAcentral also lists the same sequence under 1 other name. The record is from RNAcentral.